RNAcentral lists this ribosomal RNA (592 nucleotides) under uncultured Clostridium sp. Its description in RNAcentral is "bacterial SSU rRNA". It matches the Rfam family "Bacterial small subunit ribosomal RNA", at positions 53 to 656 of the family's 1533-position model. Lineage: Bacteria; Bacillati; Bacillota; Clostridia; Eubacteriales; Clostridiaceae. The record is from RNAcentral.
UCUAGCGAACAAAGUGAAGUGAAGCCUUCGGGCGACACUCCACGGAGUGAGCGGCGGACGGGUGAGUAACACGUGGGAAACCUGCCCUGUGCAUUGGGAUAACAUAUCGAAAGAUGUGCUAAUACCAAAUAAAGUGUUAAGAUCGCAUGAUCUUGGCAUAAAAGCCGAGGCGGCACAGGAUGGUCCCGCGUCCCAUUAGCUAGUUGGUGAGGUAACGGCCCACCAAGGCUACGAUGGGUAGCCGGCCUGAGAGGGUGACCGGCCACACUGGAACUGAGAUACGGUCCAGACUCCUACGGGAGGCAGCAGUGGGGAAUAUUGCACAAUGGGCGAAAGCCUGAUGCAGCAACGCCGCGUGAGCGAUGAAGGCCUUCGGGUCGUAAAGCUCUGUUCUAAGGGAAGAUGAUGACGGUACCUUAGGAGAAAGCCCCGGCAAACUACGUGCCAGCAGCCGCGGUAAUACGUAGGGGGCAAGCGUUAUCCGGAAUCACUGGGCGUAAAGGGUGCGUAGGCGGCCUAUCAAGUCAGAAGUGAAAGGCUACGGCUUAACCGUGGUGAGCUUUUGAAACUGCUGGGCUUGAGUGCAGGAGAG